CAGCUUGUUGGUGGGGUAAUGGCCUACCAAGGCGACAAUCCGUAGCUGGUCUGAGAGGACGACCAGCCACACCGGAACUGAGACACGGUCCGGACUCCUACGGGAGGCAGCAGUGGGGAAUAUUGGACAAUGGGGGAAACCCUGAUCCAGCGACGCCGCGUGUGUGAAGAAGGCCUGCGGGUUGUAAAGCACUUUUAGUGGGGACAAAAAGCUACGGAUUAAUACUCUGUGGUCUUGAUUUAACCCAAAGAAAAAGCACCGGCUAACUCUGUGCCAGCAGCCGCGGUAAUACAGAGGGUGCGAGCGUUAAUCGGAAUUACUGGGCGUAAAGCGCGCGUAGACGGUUUUGUAAGUCAGAUGUGAAAUCCCUGGGCUCAACCUGGGAACUGCAUUUGAGACUGCAUGGCUAGAGUAUGGAAGAGGGAAGUGGAAUUUCCGGUGUAGCGGUGAAAUGCGUAGAUAUCGGAAGGAACACCAGUGGCGAAAGCGACUUCCUGGUCCAAUACUGACGUUCAUGUG
This 519-nucleotide ribosomal RNA is filed under the name uncultured Gammaproteobacteria bacterium. RNAcentral's name for it is "SSU rRNA". It matches the Rfam family "Bacterial small subunit ribosomal RNA", at positions 242 to 753 of the family's 1533-position model. The record is from RNAcentral. Lineage: Bacteria; Pseudomonadati; Pseudomonadota; Gammaproteobacteria.